RNAcentral lists this ribosomal RNA (330 nucleotides) under Segatella copri. RNAcentral's name for it is "bacterial SSU rRNA". It matches the Rfam family "Bacterial small subunit ribosomal RNA", at positions 1 to 320 of the family's 1533-position model. Lineage: Bacteria; Pseudomonadati; Bacteroidota; Bacteroidia; Bacteroidales; Prevotellaceae. The record is from RNAcentral.
ACAAUGGAGAGUUUGAUCCUGGCUCAGGAUGAACGCUAGCUACAGGCUUAACACAUGCAAGUCGAGGGGAAACGAUAUCGGAAGCUUGCUUCCGAUAGGCGUCGACCGGCGCACGGGUGAGUAACGCGUAUCCAACCUGCCCACCACUUGGGGAUAACCUUGCGAAAGUAAGACUAAUACCCAAUGACGUCUCUAGAAGACAUCUGAAAGGGAUUAAAGAUUUAUCGGUGAUGGAUGGGGAUGCGUCUGAUUAGCUUGUUGGCGGGGUAACGGCCCACCAAGGCGACGAUCAGUAGGGGUUCUGAGAGGAAGGUCCCCCACAUUGGAACU